GCACAGCGCGGCGGGAGCGACACGCGGCAGGCGAGUGCGGCUGGGAAACGACCCGCGGCUCGGGGGCCGCGAGGACCCGGCCCUGGCCUGGCCUCUCCUCGCGUCCCCUGGCCCGCGCCCCCGCUCCCGGAGCGCCCGGCGGGCCCAGCGCACCCCACAACCGGCAAGCAGGUGAGACCGACACCCACCACCGCGCGGCGCCCGGGGCCUGGGUUCGGAGACCCGCGCGGCGCUCCCGCGCCCCCCCGGCCCGCCGCACUCACUGUUGUACUGCACCCCCUUGGCGAAGCGCCUCUGCAACGCCUGGUUCAUGGACUGCAGCCCGGCGGGGAUGUUCUUGUCCCGGCCCGGGGCCUGGUCCGACCCCACCAGCUUCUUCAGGGCGGAAAACAUCUUCCCGCUCGGACGUCCCAGCCCGGGCGCGGCCGGCGAGCUCAGCGGCGGCGGGGAAGGGGUGCGACUGGCACCAUGUCCCGGCGGCCCCGGCCCCCCCGGAGGCCGGAGCCGGCGCGGCCAGAGGCCGGGGUCCCGGCGGCGGAGCGCAGCCCCGAGCGGCGACUCGGGAACCUCAGCCGCGGCUGCUCCGCUCCGGCCCCCGCGGCCUCCGGCGCGACCGCUCUCCAGGAGUCAGCGCCGCCAUCUUGGCGCCGGCUCGGCGGGACGGGAGGGGUGCGCGGCUACGGGGCGCCGCGAGGGCCGCGGGGGCGCGGCGCGCGCGGUCGGCGCAUGCGCACGCGGUUCUGGCGCGCAGUUCCGGGCCCGGGCUGCCUCCUUACGCAGAACCUCCCCCGAUCCUGCGUGUCCCGUGCUCCUCUCCGAGACCCCGGUCGCCCCAGCGUCCGCAGCAGUCCUGGAAAAAUGUUUAUUUGUGUAGCAAAGCAGGGAGCGGGGCGGCGGGGCUACUUCUUCUUUUUCUUGGCCGCCUUGAGCUUCCCCUCGAUUAGCCGCUGCGCCUGCCUCUUGAUCUCGGCGCGCGAAGGGACGUAGCUGUGGUCCAUGUCGGGGAACUGGAAGGUGUCUGCGGGCGGAGGCGGCGGCUCGCACACGGGGCUAGCCCAGCUAGGCGCAGCCGCCCGACCCGCCUCUCGCCCCCGCCCUCCACCGACCCGGGCCAGGUGCCUUGCCCCAGGGACAGCCCCAGCGUGCCGGGAGGACUCAGCCCAGCCCAUUCGCAGCGGCUCACGCUGCCCUGCCUAGCCUUUCCCGCAGAACCCCCAGUGGAAGCUCCGGCCCAGGCCUUCACCGCGCUCCUCCCUGCUCCAGCCCUGGUGCCUCUCCUCCGGGCCCGUCUGGCAUGGCAUGCCUCCUCCUUUCGGAGAAAUUAACAAGGUAUUUCAGUGGCUUUAGCCUCCCCAUGGCAUCACUAAGUCACCUCCAUCAAUUAAAGUCCUGCAGGUACAACUGAUGCACCCUGUAGCCCCGCUGUCCCUCCAGGAUGUCCCGGUGGGAUGGGAGCCGGCGCCACCCCGACCUGUGUUCCAGCCACCCGCCUGCAGCCCGGGCCCCAGUUCCGGGGCCUGUACCGAUCAUAUCCUCCUCCCGGUUCUCAAAGCUGAUCCUGGUGUUGUACUUCUCCAUCAGAGUCGAGGACUCCAGGGUGUCCCUCACCUUUGUGUCGCCCUGCAGGGCAAAGCCCCCUUCAGCCGUGCAGACACUCUGAACGGGAGCCUGUCAGCUUUGAGGGGACGUGGGCUGUGCAGGUUCCUCCCAGCCCGGGGCUACCUCCUCGGUCCUGGACACCAUCUGCACUCUGUCAGCCAGGUACGUGAGCUUCCCCUCGCAGUACGCCAGCUUGCUGUUCAAAUCGAGGGUGUUGGAGAGCACCACUUCUCUCUGUAGGCCGGGAGGAGGGUCUCAUCUCCCCUCUGGCCCUGCCCAGGGACCUGGUGUGUGGCAGCUCAGCCUCACUCCCGGUACCUGGGUCGCAGGCAAGUUAAUGCCCAUCAGCCGGACAUAGAGGUUGUCGAUGCCCAUCUGGAUGGUCAGCAGCAGCUCCUGGCCCUUGGUCAUGUUGCUGUGCGCCAGCUGGAGCCUCUCUUCUUCCUCUUUUAGCAUGUCUGUCAUUUUCUUCUCAACGGACUUGAAGCUGCAGAAGGCAAUAGGGACACAGCAGUGAGGGGCACAGGCCCGAGAGCCAUGGUGGGCCACCCAGGAGCCCAGUCCUGAGUUGGGUGCUGUGCCAGAAUCAGGGACUCAGAAGCUCAGGUGUGUGCAAGUGGAGUCCCCUGGCCCCUCUGUGGGACACACAGGCUUGUUGGCAGUGGGUAUACUCCCAGCUCCCAGCCUGGCUGCAGCCCGGGGCCUUUGUGAGACUGGGGUGGGUGGCCCGCAGCCCCGGAAGCCCGGGGCACCUGAUGGAGCUAGGCUUCUGGCGGAACUUGAGCACGGCCUCCUCCAGCUCCAGCUGCUUCACCAGGGCCUUCAGCUGCACCCGCCACUCCUCACAGUCCUCCAUCUGCAGCUCCAGGUUCUCCUCCGUGUUCCUCUGGGCCAGGAAGCGGCUAGUGAUGUCCUGGCCAGUCCGGGGGAGAGAGAAGCAGGUGUGGGCCAGGAUGGUGGGCAGAGGGGGCUUCACAGAACUGGUUUCUUCUGGGCCCCUCCUAGACGCUAGUGCACUUUCUCUGUGCUCAUUCACAAGUGUGAUCACAGCUCACUGCAGCCUCAACCUCCCAGACUCAAGCGAUCCUCCCACCUCAGCUUCCUGAGUAGCUGGGACCACAGGUGUGCACCACCACACUUAGCAGGGGUGAAGCGCUUUGUGGAUGUCAUUGCACACGACCCUAAUGGCAGGCAGAGAGGGUAGAUAACCCCAUGUAGAGAUAAGGAGAUCAUCACUGAAGGACGUUGUGUCACUUGAGUCACUUGUCUGACAGUGGACAAGCUUGUGUCAGGGCAGUGGUUAGGAGCUCAAGGCCUAAUAAUAAUAAACGCAGAUACACAGAUGGGAUUAAGAUAAAAGGAUUUGGGGCGGCCGAGGGAGUUGCCACUUUGUGUGUCCAUUUCAGAGUGCCUCAGACCCCAGCCCAGCUCAGCCACCCUCCUGCCAUGCUCCGGGAGUGCCAGGGAGCAUUACCCAGACGUGAGAGGCUCAGCCACCCUCCUGCCAUUCUCUGGGAGCGCCAGGGGCAUUACCCAGACGUGAGAGCACCGUACAGCACUCUUGACCUUCUCCACCACAGCAGUCACGCCCGACUGGUAUUCCAUUUCUGCUGUGGAGGUCUCUUUUCUCCUCACUGGCAGAGCAGAGGGGAGGGGCAGUCAGCAUGCAGGGAUGGCUCAGGGGCUCUGUGUAAGGCUGUCAGACACCUCUGUACCUGCCCAGCUGCUGGGGCGGCCACCCAAGACACAGGCAUCCUUCAGAGAUGCCUGCCCCCGCCCCAACCUGCUCCCUCCUCAGCCCAGCCCUGCAGGGACGCCCCAGGCAGCCCCAGAGCAGAGGUGGACCCGGAGUGAGUGGCGCAGCACUGUGAGCACUGUGGGCCCGGUGGUGCUUCUCAGAGGCAGCUUAGGGGUCAGGAUGCUCAUCCUCUGCAGAGUCACUGGGGACUGGGCCCUUGGUGCAGGGCCCUUGGGUGCUGGGGCCAGCAUCUCUGAGGCCACAUUUGGCUACAGGCUCUCAGCCUCUGGAGGGAGAGGCAGGGACCUGUCCUUCCCUUCACCCUGGCGACCACAUGUCACACCUGGCCUCAGGGUGACUUGAUCCGUUGGCCUGAAUCAGUGCCAGCCUCUCCUUGGGACCCUGGCUGGGGGCAGGUGGGGAGCUGAGCGCUUACAUUUCAGGGUCUCCGUGCUCAUCAGGUUCGAGGGGAAGUCCAAGUCCAUCUGGCCCUGAUGGGAGGUGGGGGCGGGGAAGGGAUGAGACAUCCUUGGCAGGGAGUGGGCCCUGAGUGGUGGCCCUGAGCCUGUGUCCACCCAGCUGUCAUGGGGAUGGGCAGCCAGCCAGGCCCUGGCCUGGGGCUUACCCGGCGGUACUUCUCGCUGGUCUCCUUCGUGUGGAUCUUGUCGAUCAGCUUCUUCUGCUGGUUGAGCCGGUUCUCCCUUGCCCGGCGCUCCUCGAUGAAGGACGCCUCCCUUUGCCUCAUGUUCCUCUGGGGACAUGCGGGUGGGCACAGGGUUGGGGAGCUGUCUCAACAAGGCCCCUAAUGGCAGUAAAGCCAGCGGGCGGUUGGCCAUGCUCACCUUACUAGACUUUGGAACUGCAUCCCCGGCCAAUGGCCACACCCUUUUCCUAAACCACUUGUGCCCGUGGCCCCUCAGCUCACGGCCCUCCUUGCCCAUGCCUCAGAGCAUGUGCCAGCCCAGACGCUCUGCUGCCCUCCAGCCGCUGGCCCCCAGCUGCCUCCUGGCCAGGUCCACCUAGAACUCACGGAAGUGCAUUCAGCCUGCCUGAAGACAGAUUCAUCCUCUUCCCCAAAACCUGGCCUCUUCCAGCGUGCCCUUGGGCAGCUAAAACCGUCAUCUGCUAACCCCUGCUCACGCACCCCAGACACUGCUCUCACCCUCGCCACUCUCGUUGCCAGCGCUUAGUGGGGUUGCCUCUUGAGGAGUUCUCAGCUCCGUUGCUCCUGGCCACCCCUUCUCCACCCCGGGUAUACCCAGGUGAUCAGCGCUUCUGCCCUGGCACCUUCCAGUCCCUGCAGCCUGAGUACACCCUUUCUGAAGCACAGACCUGGUCACAUCUUUCCUCCACCUCCUCCCAGGGCUCCAGGUCAGUCCUUGGGCCCCCAGCCCAGCCGCCUCCGUGGACUCCUGGGGCCUGUGCCUCUGCAGCCUCCACUGCCCUGGCCACACGCUGCUCCAUGUAUCACACCCCUCCCAGCCCAGGGCCUUUUCCCAAGUUGUACCUCCUCCUCCCUAGCCCUGGCCACACCUGACCUUUGCGGGUUCAAUCCCUCAGCCCAGCUCAAGCACUGUCUUCCUGGAAAGCCAUCUGCCACCCCACCUGUCUCUGCUGAGCUGGCUCAGGGGCUGUGUGGCAUUUCUUCAUGGACUACUGGAUGAGUGCCACCCACUUCAGGAGGACAGGGUCUGCCUGUCCCGGUCCCUGCUGUAUCCCCAGAGCCUUGCAGGGACCUUGGCACAGACUGGGUGAAUAGGUGACCCCCGCCCUGGCCCGGCCAGUUCUCUCCCUCUCCUCUACUUCAUGGCUCCUGUGCUGGAUGGGACCUGCUCUGUCCAGUGGGUGAGCAGAGCAGGCUGGCCGGGCUGGCCACUGGAUCCUUCUGGGGAUUGUAGGCAGUGUGGGCAUGGGGGUCUCCUGAGAGACCCUGGCCAGAAGACACAAGAGAGCCCGCCCUGGGGGGCCCCAGCCCUGGGCCCUGAGCUCACCUUGACCCCAUCCGAAGAUCCAAGAGGGCUGGCCCUGGGGGGCCCCCAGCCCUGGGCCCUGAGCUCACCUUGACCCCAUCCGAAGAUCCAAGAGGGCUGGCCCUGGGGGGCCCCAGCCCUGGGCCCUGAGCUCACCUUGACCCCAUCCGAAGAUCCAAGAGGGCUGGCCCUGGGGGGCCCCCGGCCCUGGGCCCUGAGCUCACCUUGACCCCAUCCGAAGAUCCAAGAGGGCUGGCCCUGGGGGGCCCCCAGCCCUGGGCCCUGAGCUCACCUUGACCCCAUCCGAAGAUCCAAGAGGGCUGGCCCUGGGGGGCCCCCGGCCCUGGGCCCUGAGCUCACCUUGACCCCAUCCGAAGAUCCAAGAGGGCUGGCCCUGGGGGGCCCCCAGCCCUGGGCCCUGAGCUCACCUUGACCCCAUCCGAAGAUCCAAGAGGGCUGGCCCUGGGGGGCCCCCAGCCCUGGGCCCUGAGCUCACCUUGACCUCAUCCGUGAUCAUCAUGGCAUCUUGGGACAUGAUCUUCAUAUCCGACAGCUCUGAGCAGUAGUUGACCACGAGGUUCUGCAGCUUGUCCAGCUCAAUGGGGUAUCCUGCCAGCACCUGUGUUGAAUGGGGUUCUCUUGUGGCCCCUACAGAGUGGGCUGCAGUUGCCCCGAGCUUUUAUCCCCCGACUAAGAGCCCUGAGAACAGUGAUAGGUUCUCCUCUGUGGCCCCAGCCACCUCCCCCACUCCCCGCUGGGCACAACGGUGAUGAAAGGUGUUUCACAGGGAGUGGACAGUGCUGGCCUGGUGGACUCUUUCACCACCUAGGGUCCAACAACCCAGAGAGACUGAGAGAGUUUGUGAUGAAAUGCUCUGCAGAAAAGGCUGACUGAAACCCGGGGAGGUUUGGGGACAGUUCUGCUUUGAAGUGAAACAGAGGGGCUCAAGACAUGGGCUUGGGGUCAGAGAGUCAGGAUUCAAGGCCAAGGCAGCUUCUGACCAGCUAGUUUAGCUGUGUGACAUUGGGAAAGUUACUUAAUCUCUCUGUGUCCCCAUUUGUAAGAUGAUGGCUCGUUCAGAAGGUUGCCAUCAGGAUGAAUUGAGUGUAAAAGGAAUUAUUUAGCCCAGAACCAGGUACAUACGUGCUCAGGAUAGCUUUGCUAUAGUGGUUUGUUUUUUGUAACUACAAGCAUGAGCCACCAUGCCCAGGCCGGGAAUAAUUGUUUUUUAAGUGUGUAUGUUCUAAACAGAAGAAGGCGCUACCAGAGGAACAGAAAGCACCCAGGCGAAGGAGGGGCAUGGACAGGGGUGGGGAGAGGGGUGGGCCCAGGAAGCAUAGAGGGGCAGGGCUUCCAGGUGAGCCAAUAGGACCAGGGGCCAAGGCAAGAGGGACAAGCAGAGGACGGUGCUGAGAGCCACCUGGGCUGGGACCACAGCAGGAAAAGAGCUGCGAUGCAGCCUCCGUCCACCACUCCUCCUAAACUGCACUUCCAUGCUGUCACCUUCCCGAAGCAUGGCUCUCCAGAGCUCCCCUUUGCCCAGUCUUAGGGUGAGGGUGUUUCCAGCUGGCUCCCCGCCCCAUCCACAGGUUGCUCCUCUUAGCACCUCCUGUGCUCUCCCUAUCUACAGCCCAUCUGGAGUAGGUUCUGCUUUGUGGCAGCCCGAGGGGCGGUGCUCAGCCUCCCAUGAAGGGGGUCUUCCCUCACAAUCGGACUGCUGGCUGCCUUUGGCCUCGUCUGCAGGGAGCAGGGCGGGUGGGCUGGCUGGGACGGCAGCAAGCCCUGCUUACAGGCCCAGCGGACCCUCAAAGGUGCAAGGACUUUCUGAGGGUGCAGGACCUGUCUGACUCUCAGAGGCCCAGGCAAUGAGAAAAUGACAGGCAAGAUACAAACAAUACCAAAUCAUUUAAUACGUGCAAGAAAGUCCGAAGAAUUCUGAUAUACCCCACGAUAUGCUUUUUUGGAAUAGCCAAAAAUGAAGUUUAAAAAAACGUUUUCCACAUGCCUCGGCGUCCUGCGUAGCCGGUGGUCAGGCAGAGCUCCCUCUCCCUGGCGGGUGCGGGGCGGCUCCGCCCCAGGACGCUCCCGCCCCUCCCAGAUCCCAGCCCCUGACCCCCGCCCUUCCCGGGCCGCUGGGCUCACUGUCUUCAGAUAAUCCAGCAGGUCCAAAUACAGCAGGUGGAUGUUCUGGCUGGUGAUGAUCUUGAUCAUUGUCUUCUCGAUGUUGUUCUCCAGCUGGCGGAUGAUCUGGGGCGGACCGAGGGCGCAGUGAGAGGGCGUGGGGACCGGCCGCCCGGAGGGUGUCGGGGCUGGGUUUUCUCCGGAGAGGGUCGUGCUCUCUUAGCCCCGCCCCUCCCGUGAGCCCUCCCCAGGGGACCCGCAAGUCCCGCCCCCCGGUGGCCCCGCCCCUCCCGUGAGUCUUGCCCCAGUGGACUCCGCCCCGCCCUCCCAGCCCCGCCUCUCCACCUGCAGCAGCCGCAGCUCCUCCUUGCUGGCGUCGGGCUGGCUCCGCAGGCUGUCCAGCUCCAGCUGCAUGCUCUCCAGCUUCUGCCCGCGCCGCCGCACCAGGUGGAUCAGUAGGUUGUGCAUGUUCACGCGGUCGAAGACGUACUUGCGCAGCUUCUCCCGCACCACCUGGGUCGGGAAGGGCACCGCCCACUCGUGGUUGCGUAGGGGGCCGCCAUGGAGCCCGCCAGCAGGCGGGCGGGUGGAGGCUCGUGGCAACCCCACAGGGAACCUGGGGCUGGGCACCUGCUCCGUCCCUCGUCGGCUCCGCAACAUCUAGUGGGGGGGUGCUGGCAGGGGUGGGGAGGGUUGGGUCUCGAGGCCCCUCCUGCCUGGUUACCUCCAUGGUGCUGCGGCAGUGCGCCAGUCGCAAAGGCAAGUUUUUCCCGCAGGCCUUGGAGAUGGUCCACUGGUCAUACUGCGGAGCGGCGGCGGCUGAGCUAGAGCGGGCCCUUUGCGCACCCGCAGCCGCUGGCUCCUCCAGGCAUUCUCCCCAGGGCCUCUUGUAUCCCACGCUAGCCCAGUAGCGAGAUCCCUGCUUCCACGAGGAGCAGAGAGCCGCGGGACCCCAUCCUGGCCAUCCAAGUUCGGAGGCGACGUGGUAGGGGGGUAUGCAGAGGAGGGCCUGGGUGUCCCCUAGCUGGCCGGAGAGCCAGAGGGGGCCCCUGCUGCAGGAUGUGGGCUCACAGAUGCCAAGCCCUCGGGUUGGGUGGUGGGAAACCUGCCCACCGGAUGCUGGGGUGACUGGAGCCCAGGGCACAGGUCCUAGCAGAGCCCCUCCUCACAUGCCCCCUGGAUCCAGAAAGAUUGGGGUGGGGGUGGAGAGGAGGUGCCCGCCCUCCGAGUGUGUGUGUACUCAGCUCCUGCCCUGCUCGCCAGGCAGAGGGGAGGGGCGGCGUUUGUGUACCUUCUUGGCCAAAGCCCAGUCCUGGGCCCCGCGGCGGAUGUUGCUGCGCAGGAGGGCCAGCGUGGCCUUGUUCUGGUCCAUAUUCUCUUUCACCCCUUGGAUCUGGAGUGCCCGACACUGCUCUGUGGGCAGGUGGAGGGGACACAGUGGCUAGGAUUGGGCCAAGGGCCUGGCCUGGAAUCCCCUGGGGGAGGCUUGCAUCAGGGAGGCCCCAGGCCCCAGGGUCCAGGGGGAUGCCCCCUCCAUGGCCAAGAUCCCUCCUCCCGCCCUGUCCUGGGGGACACCGCUCCACUGCCCAGCAGCA
RNAcentral lists this long non-coding RNA (9023 nucleotides) under Homo sapiens (human). RNAcentral describes it as "non-protein coding CCDC183-AS1:5". The record is from RNAcentral. Lineage: Eukaryota; Metazoa; Chordata; Mammalia; Primates; Hominidae.